RNAcentral lists this unclassified non-coding RNA (329 nucleotides) under soil metagenome. RNAcentral's name for it is "partial contains 5.8S ribosomal RNA, internal transcribed spacer 2, and large subunit ribosomal RNA". The stretch from base 1 to 120 matches the Rfam family "5.8S ribosomal RNA", at positions 35 to 154 of the family's 154-position model. The record is from RNAcentral.
GAUGAAGAACGCAGCGAAAUGCGAUAAGUAAUGUGAAUUGCAGAAUUCAGUGAAUCAUCGAAUCUUUGAACGCACAUUGCGCCCCCUGGUAUUCCGGGGGGCAUGCCUGUCCGAGCGUCAUUACAACCCUCAAGCUCAGCUUGGUGUUGGGCCCCGCCGCCCCGGCGGGCCCUAAAGUCAGUGGCGGUGCCGUCCGGCUCCGAGCGUAGUAAUCCUUCUCGCUCUGGAGGUCCGGUCGUGUGCUCGCCAGCAACCCCCAAUUUUUUUCAGGUUGACCUCGGAUCAGGUAGGGAUACCCGCUGAACUUAAGCAUAUCAAUAAGCGGAGGA